CGGACGUGGCCGGCGGCGACGUGGUCGGCGGCGUUGCCGAUGCCGCCGGUCACCCAGCCGGUCAGGGCGGUGCCCGGUUCGCCGACCUCGGCC
Molecule: transfer RNA, 93 nt
Filed under: Catellatospora sp. TT07R-123
Lineage: Bacteria; Bacillati; Actinomycetota; Actinomycetes; Micromonosporales; Micromonosporaceae
Description: tRNA-Gly
Source: RNAcentral